CACAGUCUGAGAGAAAUAGCUCCGCUGCCAAUUGCUACUUAAUACAAGAACUCUAGAGAGCUCGAGUAGAGUCUAUAACUAAGUUAGGAGUCUGCAAAAGAACUCAAAGUUUAGCUCUAAUGCGGGAAGGAAAGAGAUGGUGAAAAAGAAGAACAAGAAUAAAAAUAAGAGAGAAAAAUACUUCAUUCAUGUUCAAUAUUGUAUUGCAUGGCACUAUUUAUAGCAUUUGUUUUACUUUAACUAACUACCGGUUAAUAGAUUUAUUACUACUAAAUAGUAGUAACUAACUAGAUGAUUAAGUGUAGGCCAACUAAUUCAACUUGAUCCGUUACAAGAUUGGUAUUUAGAUGCAUCAUGAACAUAGUAAAACAAGUGCCUGUCUGCAAGCAAACAUAUAUACUUUGUAUAUAUACAGAACAUGCACAUUACUACAGUUCUCUAGGAGAUUUCUCCUUUGAUGUCUUAAAACAGUUUGGCAAUUAACGUCAUUUUGGUUGGGAUUGCAAACCUGUUUCUUUGGAAAGUAAAUCCCACAGCCAAUUACUACAGUGAAAGAAUACAUAAUGGUCAUAUCAGGAUUAGCCUCCUCUGGAAUCACAGUCAAGGUGCAGUGUGAUAAUUGGCUCUUAUUAGGUAUCAUCAAAAGUCGUAAUGGCUUUUCAAUAUUGUCACCCAUUAUAACAAUGAUUUGCAGCAGAAUCAAGAGAUAAAAAACGGCACUACUUAGUAUCAAUCGCUUAGACAUGCAGGAAAUAGCAUUACUGAAUCAAUAGCACUAAGUCGUUUGCAGCUGGAGUUACAUCAGUUACUCAUGCAAUCUUGAAAGAGAAGUGUGGCUCAUGUAGUUGCUCAUAGGCAUUAGACCAGACUCAUAAGUUAGUUUCAAUUAUAUACAUACAGUUGAAGCUAUUAUAACUGUGGAACAUAAUUGCUCCUGAGGACGCAGUGGAGCUUCAAAUUCUGACUACCAGCAUCCAAUUUAGGACUGUCUUCUGCCAAUAAGACAAAAGAAUUCCAAGCAGAAAACCAUGUACAGAUAUUCCCAUCCACAAAAAUCUGCAGCAGAAUCUCCGGAUUCACAAAGAAGAAGGAUAAAAUCAACAACACAGGGCACUAAGAUUCUACAGGGUUUAGGCAAACAACAAAAUGGUUGCAUCUAGCUAUAUUAUCCGUUUGAUGGACUUAAGUAUGCACUUAUUGACCAUCAAAACUUACCAGUCUGUAAUCCGAUUUUCUGACUGAAAAGGACCACAUAGAAGAUAGCAGUCUCAGGAUGCAAAUUGGAUUAGGAGGUUGCUAGUUAUGAUGGGAUGAGUAAGGCAAUUUUGUAACGAGCAUUCCUGCAAUGAAAGGGAAGGAAGAAAAGUCAAGGAGCAUAUAUAUCACACACUAAUGUUUAUUGUCAAGGAACAAUGUGUGCUCUCGGUAGCUUUAUUGUGGUCUCAUAAGAAAUAGCUGGGAUGUGCUUGGACUAAAGAAAAAACAGCAGUCUCCUCCUUGACAUUUAGCUCAGCCUAAAUUACACCUUACUGCUGGUAAAUUUCCAUCCAUCUGGUACUCCCCUAAGUAGUAAAGACUUCAAAACUCUGCCAU
This 1593-nucleotide long non-coding RNA is filed under the name Nicotiana tabacum (common tobacco). RNAcentral's name for it is "long non-coding RNA (NTAB_LNC014763)". Lineage: Eukaryota; Viridiplantae; Streptophyta; Magnoliopsida; Solanales; Solanaceae. The record is from RNAcentral.